UACGAAGGGGGCUAGCGUUGCUCGGAAUCACUGGGCGUAAAGCGCACGUAGGCGGAUCUUUAAGUCAGGGGUGAAAUCCUGGAGCUCAACUCCAGAACUGCCUUUGAUACUGGCGAUCUUGAGUCCGGAAGAGGUGAGUGGAACUCCUAGUGUAGAGGUGGAAUUCGUAGAUAUUAGGAAGAACACCAGUGGCGAAGGCGGCUCACUGGUCCGGUACUGACGCUGAGGUGCGAAAGCGUGGGGAGCAAACAGG
Molecule: ribosomal RNA, 253 nt
Filed under: uncultured bacterium
Lineage: Bacteria
Description: partial 16S ribosomal RNA
Rfam family: Bacterial small subunit ribosomal RNA
Source: RNAcentral